GACGAACGCUGGCGGCGUGCCUAAUACAUGCAAGUCGAACGCACUCUCGUUUAGAUUGAAGGAGCUUGCUCCUGAUUGAUAAACAUUUGAGUGAGUGGCGGACGGGUGAGUAACACGUGGGUAACCUGCCCUAAAGUGGGGGAUAACAUUUGGAAACAGAUGCUAAUACCGCAUAAAACCUAACACCGCAUGGUGUAGGGUUGAAAGAUGGUUUCGGCUAUCACUUUAGGAUGGACCCGCGGUGCAUUAGUUAGUUGGUGAGGUAAAGGCUCACCAAGACCGUGAUGCAUAGCCGACCUGAGAGGGUAAUCGGCCACACUGGGACUGAGACACGGCCCAGACUCCUACGGGAGGCAGCAGUAGGGAAUCUUCCACAAUGGACGAAAGUCUGAUGGAGCAACGCCGCGUGAGUGAAGAAGGUUUUCGAAUCGUAAAACUCUGUUGUUGGAGAAGAAUGUAUCUGAUAGUAACUGAUCAGGUAGUGACGGUAUCCAACCAGAAAGCC
RNAcentral lists this ribosomal RNA (505 nucleotides) under uncultured bacterium. Its description in RNAcentral is "bacterial SSU rRNA". It matches the Rfam family "Bacterial small subunit ribosomal RNA", at positions 28 to 492 of the family's 1533-position model. The record is from RNAcentral.